Mytilus californianus (California mussel) is the source of this 906-nucleotide long non-coding RNA. RefSeq lists it as uncharacterized. NCBI's taxonomy places the organism in Eukaryota, Metazoa, Mollusca, Bivalvia, Mytilida, Mytilidae. The record is from RefSeq and is a predicted model, not a curated record. The transcript has 2 exons.
AAACUCCAUUUAUUUAUUUAUAUAUAUCUAUUUCACUUAGGACUAUAUUUUAUGUUAGGGCUUAUUUUCGUUAACACCGGACUAUAUAGUCAAGCAGACCUUUCAUGUGUAUCACGUGAUUAGGCACCUAUUGAAAUUUCACAGGUGAGUUUGAAAUCAGUCGACACAUGGCCAUUGAAUAAAGCACACGCUUGUGCGGAGUCUAGAGUUGGUAAAAGUAGCAGUUGGGUAUUAUAAUUGUCAGUUUAGGACAUGGAUAUCCCAAGGCUUAUUAUUACAACACUCAGGGGUUUUUAGGCCCGGUUUUGGUGUGCGUACAGCACGUAGUAAAUACCGUCGACUGGUCGGUGAUAUAUGGUGUCGGAGAUACAAAGGGUAUUAUUAGUAAUAUGGUUACAACUCGAUGUUUGCUGAUAUCAAUUACAACGCCUGGAGUCGGUGAAAAUAUCUGUUAUAAAUAUACAAAGAAGUCCGUAUAAAUAUAUGUUAAACGAAUCGAGCAGUCCGUGCAGUAUUAUGCAGUUUCAAGUCGUCAUUGCUCAUUGAAGUUAUCAUUGCAGUAAAAGUAUAAAAUCUAGUGUUCUUUUCAUCAAUUUAGAAUCAACCAAAAAUGUGUGAAAAUAGUUAUUUUCUGUCCGUUUUAUAUUAAAAGAAAUUCAAGGGGAACAACCCAAAGUUAUUCUACAGUACGUGCAACGUUCAACCUUUACCGGGAAGUGUGCAGAGUGGAUGGAGGUGUGCGGACUGUAAUUGUUUAAUUUCAUUUUGUUUAUUUCAUAACAUCAUAUUUAGUUCUGUUUUGUGUGUGUUUAUUUAGUUACAUUUGCAUGUAUUCAUUUCAUUAUUUCAUUUAUGUUGAAUUUACUUUACUUUUGUUUUGUUUAUUAAAUUUAUAUUUAAAUUUAA